RNAcentral lists this long non-coding RNA (1781 nucleotides) under Malus domestica (apple). RNAcentral describes it as "long non-coding RNA (MDOM_LNC001308)". The record is from RNAcentral. Lineage: Eukaryota; Viridiplantae; Streptophyta; Magnoliopsida; Rosales; Rosaceae.
UUCGAGGCGUUUUCCGGCCAAACCACGGCGAGUUAUAUGUCGUGUGAGGUACCAUUCUCUUCGUCUCUUUAAGGGCUACAACUUUCGUUUUUUUCUCGCUUGAUUUCGUUGUGUAGUGACAAAGUUAUAGUCGUUUAAAGUUGGGUGGUUUUCCGGCCGAAUCUCCGGCCUUCUUCCUCGGCAACCAGGCCUUUCAGGCCAUUAGAACCCCCCGGGCCUUAGCCAAUUGGGCUAGCCCAGUAACCCAGCCCGCACCCUUUUAUUUUUAAGUUAUUUUGUUUUCAAGACCCAAAAGGCCACGGGCCUUAAUACUGAAGGUCCUUGGGCCAAUUUCUGUCAAAGGGCUUAAAGCCCUGCCCUUUGUGAGGCCUUAGGGCCGGCUUUGGUGUGAAUGGGCUGUGUGUGUGUGUGUGUGUGGGUUUAAAGCCCAAACCACCAUUUUUCAUCCUAAACCAUUUUUAACCCAAAAACCCAAUAGGUCCUAACCCUAUUUAACCUAAACCUAAACCCUAAUCCGGAUUUCAAGCCUAAAACCCGUUUGACCUAAUUUGACCGUUGACCCCCGGUCAACGUUGACUUUAGGGUUGACUUUUCGGGUUUUCGUCCGGGACCCUUCUUAGGGUAAUUCGACGUUCUGAAUCCAUUUCCAAUGUCCGUUUUCCCAAAUUCAAUUGCUAUUAUAUAGUUUUAUUUAUUGGACUUUUUAUGUGCUUAGGGGCAAUUAUUGUGACGUUUCCGUCUUCACUAGUGGCGCAGUUUUUGGCGGCUAAGUACUAUGAGUGGACCCCUUCUAAAAUUACAUGAUUUGAUAAUUUAAUUGCAUAAAUGAUUAGCAUGCCUACGGAUUUAUAAUUUGAUUUAUGUGAAACCUAUUGAUUUAAUAUAUUGAUUAUCGUCUCGUGUUUUGGUGAGGAAUUAAUUGUUAGCCUAUAUUGAGCUAUAUUUUAAUAUAUCGUAUUUUCUAUUAAAACCAUGAACUGGUAGACUAUCUGAUAGAUGACGAUAGGAUGCUAGAACAUGUUUUUGAACCCUCUUUAUAGUGUAGACGAUGAUCGGUAACCUAUGCUAUGAAGUGGUUAUUUAAGAGAGGCGUAACUAUUUGUGCGUACCUAGUGGAUACUAUGCCGCCUGGGGCGAGAAUCUGGUGUUGGCAUUUAGGCUGGGAGAAAUAAUCCCUAGCGAAAGGCUGAGGGACACGGUGACAGGCAUUGGGCCGGGAGAGAGUUAUCUCUGGCUACGGGCACAGAGACUUAGGUGUAGGCAUUGGGCCGGGAGUUAUAUUUAUUCGGUGAUCUUACUAGCAGCACACCGCGCUUACGAGACGAUUUAUGAGACGUUUAAUAUUUUGAUUUCUGCAAUGAGUUUCCGCGAUAUGGCUUUUGAGAUAUUUUGGCAUGCUAGGAUUUUGAUUUAAAUCCAUCACUUAUUAUGCUAGUAGUUUUCAUUUAUAUAAACUGUGGGGGUUAGUAUCUUGAUAACUGUUUUAUUAUUAUUGUAUAUAUGAACUUGGUCCACUCACCUUUGUUUUGCGCCCCCAUUCAGGACUUAGAAUCAAGGCACCUAAUCCCGGCGUGAAGGCACUUCCGCAGCAGCAUCUUCGAAUCCUCUCGAUGUAGGACCUACUCCUUUAUUCAUUAAAUUUUAUCUUAAUUCUUUUUAGUGAUUAGGUUUGUAUGCUCUAAACACGUUCCUAAAUUAUUAAUUCUUCGUAUUUUUAAAUUUCUAACCCUUAUUUAUUUCUUAUUCUUAGUUUUUGUAUCAAUUAAUGGCUUUCGUCACCC